AUUGAACGCUGGCGGUAGGCCUAACACAUGCAAGUCGAACGAGUGGCGGACGGGUGAGUAAUGUCUGGGAAACUGCCCGAUGGAGGGGGAUAACUACUGGAAACGGUAGCUAAUACCGCAUACCAUCGGAUGUGCCCAGAUGAGAUUAGCUAGUAGGUGGGGUAACGGCUCACCUAGGCGACGAUCCCUAGCUGGUCUGAGAGGAUGACCAGCCACACUGGAACUGAUACACAGUACAGACUCCUACGGGAGGCAGAAGAGGGGAAUAUUGCACAAUGGGCGCAAGCGGGAUGCAGCCAUGCCGCGUGUAUGAAGAAGGCCUUCGGGUUGGAAAGUACUUUCAGCGAGGAGGCGUUACUCGCAGAAUAAGCACCGGCUAACUCCGUGCCAGCAGCCGCGGUAAUUC
This 406-nucleotide ribosomal RNA is filed under the name uncultured bacterium. RNAcentral describes it as "partial 16S ribosomal RNA". It matches the Rfam family "Bacterial small subunit ribosomal RNA", at positions 30 to 526 of the family's 1533-position model. The record is from RNAcentral.